Onychostoma macrolepis is the source of this 2082-nucleotide long non-coding RNA. RefSeq lists it as uncharacterized. The record is from RefSeq and is a predicted model, not a curated record. The transcript is spliced from 4 exons. Lineage: Eukaryota; Metazoa; Chordata; Actinopteri; Cypriniformes; Cyprinidae.
CAGCAAUGGAAUCUGAUGUUUGACAUAAAAAAUUAAAAAACGUUUUAUUUUGGCAUUUUAUGCCUUUAAUGGAUAGGAUGGUAGAGAGCUGACAGGAAAGCAUCCCGACCUUGAGACGGGAAUUGAACUCAGGUCACAGAGGGCACAGUUGCGCUAUAUGUCGGCGCACUAACCACGAGGCUAUCAGUGCACGAAAAAAAAUUCUGCCAUAAUUUUGAUCAUUAAGGUAGAGUUUUGGACUAAGAUUCAUGCAAUGAUAUGCAUGUACCCAGCAAACAUAGAACAUUCCCCUAACGUAUAUGGUUCCUUUUUUAGGGUGGAAUCAGAUAACAACAUUCCAGAAACUUUCUUUUAAGGUUUUACUUUUUUUGCAAAAUAACGUUCUCAGAAUGCUGCCGGGUGAUUAUUUUUAAAUAACCUAAAAAUAACUUAGAACAUACCCAAUUGGUUAUAAGUGACCCUGGAUCACAAAACCAGUCAUUAGUCGCUGGGGUAUAUUUGUAGCAAUAGCCAACAAUAUAUUGUAUAGGUCAGAUUUAUGGUUUUUUCCUUUUGUGCCAAAAAUCAUUAGGAUAUUAAGCAAACAUCAUUUUCCUGAAGAUAUUUUGUAAAUUUCCUACCGUAAAUAUAUCAAAACUUAGUUUUUGAUUAGUAAUAUGCAUUGCUAAAAAGUUCAUUUGAACAACUUUAAAGGAGAUUUUCUCAAUAUUUAAAUUUUUUUUGCACCCUCAGAUUCCAGAUUUUCAAAUAGUAUCAGCCAAAUAUAUACAUCAAUGAAAAGCUUAUUUAGUCAGCUUUCAGAUGAUGCAUAAAUCUCAAUUAAAAAACUGACCCUUAUGACCGGGUUUGUGGUCCAGGGUCACACAGAACUAAUCUGCAGAUAAAGUUGCAGAUGUUUUUAUGUAAUGGCCUGUACAGCUCUGAACGUAUAGUUUAAUACAGAAUUUAUUUAUUUUUUAAUUAGAUCAAAACGCGUUAUAAUGAUCAGAUAAAUAAAACUUUACGGCUUUAAUAUUAAGCCACGGUUAAGAGCAGCUUGAAAAGCACAGAAAUCAUAUACUGCGCGCCCCUGAUCUGAUCUGCACGAGCUUCUCCAGCACGCGCUUUCUCCAGUUCUCCACAGAAAGCCGCGCACUCGCGCAAUUUAAAAAUUAACGGUCAUUUCGUUUUACUGGCUGACCAACUAACAUUCGUUUAUCGAUCUCUUUAUUAAAUAAUUGCUUAUAAUUAAUAUAGAUCUGAGAGCAAAUAUGAUUUCGGAGAGAUUCGCGCCCAUGUUGAAGAGAACAUGAUGCUAAUCGAGAAGUUUUUGUUUACCGACCGAAACUAUUAGAGAGUGAUUCCGGCUGCCAUGGAAACGAUGACAUGUUCCUGAGUGACAUUCCCGGAGAUUCCAUUCAGCACCUUUGGGACGAGGUGAGGUUUGACGGCCAGGAAGACCAACCGAGAGCGAUCGACAACCUCGUCAUUCAAAUUGGCAUCUUUGGAUGACAGGAAUAUCCAUGUUUCUCCUUCUUUCUCUCCGCCCUCCUCUUUCACCACCCGCUCUAUCGCUCGCCCCACCAGCCCACUGCCGCCCGUCACCAACACACGCAUCGGCCCAACUGACCCGUCCAUCUGACAGACAGAGAGAGAUGGGGUUUGAUGAGCACGUCAGGGGUCAACAUACAUCUCACAAUGAACUACAUACAAGUGAAACUGGUAACAACCAGUUUUAACCACGGACACGUCCUGUAAACAGUUCACCUAUGAGGUUCCAACUUGUGCGUUACGACCACAAAACACAAGAAAUAUGCAGACAAACACAUACUGGAUUGAUACACUUUCAUCUUCAUCAAUAAAAGCAUGAGAAAAUUCAGACAUCAAUCAAAGCAUGAGAAAAGUCAGACAAGGCCAUCAUGCAUGAACAAAAUUACAGAGCAGACUUACAGUAGCACUCAAUGAAUGAACUUUAUGAACUAUUUUUGAGCUCAAUUUAAGAUUAAAAGAUCAUUUUCAUUGGUUCUAAACAGUUUCUGAAUCGAGAAAAUGGUCACAUCAGAUCGUGUAUUAGUUCGGUUAAAAUAUUUAAGAAACUGACAA